Non-coding RNA from Schistosoma curassoni, 49 nucleotides. Lineage: Eukaryota; Metazoa; Platyhelminthes; Trematoda; Strigeidida; Schistosomatidae. The record is from Rfam.
AUCUAGCUGAAGAAUCCCAAAUAAAACGAAAAUGCACUUUGUCCUGGAU